This is a long non-coding RNA of Entelurus aequoreus (snake pipefish), 833 nucleotides long. RefSeq lists it as uncharacterized. The transcript is spliced from 3 exons. NCBI's taxonomy places the organism in Eukaryota, Metazoa, Chordata, Actinopteri, Syngnathiformes, Syngnathidae. The record is from RefSeq and is a predicted model, not a curated record.
AUGAUUGGUACUUUAACUUUUUGCUACGGUAUGAAAAGAGGUGGGACUAAAUAGGCUCUGCUUCUUCCUAUUACUUUUCGGACGUGCUGUAAUGAAACAACUGGAAAUGUGUGACACAUUACAUUGUAUUGUAUGCAUGUUCCAAAAAAACUGAAACUGAAACGGUUCAAAAACAAAAACCCAACUAUUUACCUUUGAGAGCUGUGGUUUUCUCACCAUCCUCCUGAAUGGCCACCUGGGCCAUGGCGGUCAAUAAUGUGCACAGAGCGAGUUCAGCACCACCAAGAUGAAGGAUGAGCAUCUGAUCUGCUCCCACAAAUCCCCAGGCAACAAAGACACAAACAGUGGCACGGAAAGACAAGGACAACAGCACGUUGGUUUCGGUUUGACUCACACGCCUGAAACAGUCCACUUGCAGGAUGCUUCCUGGAUGACGGCUUUCAAACAGGAAGUGCUCUGAGGCGCAGGCGCGUGGGAGGUUCGCUGACAGGUGUCGGCUGAGCCCAGCACCUGUCUACAAUUGGAACACAGAGCGGUUUAUUCAAGGAAGACUGAAGAAGAAAAGAAGGAAUAUCCAAUAAGUCAUGUGACAGAAAGCAGUUAUUCUGCCAGAGCCAUUUAGCAAGUCAAACACUUGCCUCACCCAACUGAAACGGUUUUGUUAUGUUAAAUACACUGCAUUUACCAAGAUUAAUGGCGCUCUUGUUGCUGUUUAGGCUCGGUUCUGCUGCAACAGAGACGGAAUUGACUUUGCUGAGCAUUUUAUUGUCUUUUGUGUCGUCUUAAGUGGUUCGGUAAUUGUAAUCUGGCUCCAUUUGCAUUAAACGCCAAGC